RNAcentral lists this ribosomal RNA (468 nucleotides) under uncultured bacterium. RNAcentral's name for it is "partial 16S ribosomal RNA". It matches the Rfam family "Bacterial small subunit ribosomal RNA", at positions 28 to 507 of the family's 1533-position model. The record is from RNAcentral.
GACGAACGCUGGCGGCGUGCUUAACACAUGCGAGUCGAACGGUAAGGCCCUGCUUUUGUGGGGUGCUCGAGUGGCGAACGGGUGGGUAACACGUGAGUAACCUGACCUUGACUUUGGGAUAACUUCAGGAAACUGGGGCUAAUCCCGGAUAGGAGCUCCUGCUGCAUGGUGGGGGUUGGAAAGUUUCGGCGGUUGGGGCUGGACUCGCGGCUUAUCAGCUUGUUGGUGGGGUAGUGGCUUACCAAGGCUUUGACGGGUAGCCGGCCUGAGAGGGUGACCGGCCACAUUGGGACUGAGAUACGGCCCAGACUCCUACGGGAGGCAGCAGUGGGGAAUAUUGCACAAUGGGCGGAAGCCUGAUGCAGCAACGCCGCGUGCGGGAUGACGGCCUUCGGGUUGUAAACCGCUUUCGCCUGGGACGAAGCGUGAGUGACGGUAAUGGGUAAAGAAGCACCGGCUAACUACGUG